Molecule: ribosomal RNA, 460 nt
Filed under: uncultured bacterium
Lineage: Bacteria
Description: partial 16S ribosomal RNA
Rfam family: Bacterial small subunit ribosomal RNA
Source: RNAcentral
CCUACGGGGGGCAGCAGUGAGGAAUAUUGGUCAAUGGGCGCGAGCCUGAACCAGCCACGUAGCGUGAAUGAUGACUGCCCUACGGGUGGUAAACUUCUUUUAUAGAGGAAUAAAGUGCGGCACGUGUGCCUUUUUGUAUGUACUUUAUGAAUAAGGCUCGGCUAACUCCGUGCCGGCAGCCGCGGUAAUACGGAGGGACCGGGCGUUAUCCGGAUUUAUUGGGUUUAAAGGGAGCGUAGAUGGGUUGUUAAGUCAGGUGUGAAAGUUUGCGGCUCAACCGUAAAAUUGCAAUUGAUACUGGGAGUCUUGAGUACAGUUGAGGUAGGUGGAAUUCGUGGUGUAGCGGUGAAAUGCUUAGAUAUUACGAAGAACUCCGAUUGCGAAGGCAGCUUACUAAACUGCAACUGACAUUGAUGCUCGAAAGUGUGGGUAUCAAACAGGAUUAGAUACCCUAGUAGUC